Molecule: long non-coding RNA, 201 nt
Organism: Rhinichthys klamathensis goyatoka
Lineage: Eukaryota; Metazoa; Chordata; Actinopteri; Cypriniformes; Leuciscidae
Exons: 2
Source: RefSeq, a predicted model, not a curated record
UUUGUUAGCACUUAGCUUAGCCCAGUUCAUUCAUUAGGAUCCAAGCAGAGAAUCGACCAAACAUCUCCACGUUUUCCCUAUUUAAAUAUAGUGUAACUCGACCAAGAAUGGUGACACAAAAUAAAACGUUGCGCUUUUCUAAGCAUGUAAAGUGGAUAACUAUAAUGUAUGGCGGAAUACCAUAGCAAGUGCUUGGGAGCA